AACGCACAUUGCGCCCGCCAGUAUUCUGGCGGGCAUGCCUGUCCGAGCGUCAUUUCAACCCUCGAACCCCUCCGGGGGGUCGGCGUUGGGGAUCGGCACUUACCUGCCGGCCCCGAAAUACAGUGGCGGUCUCGCCGCAGCCUCUCCUGCGCAGUAGUUUGCACACUCGCACCGGGAGCGCGGCGCGUCCACGGCCGUAAAACAACCCAAACUUCUGAAAUGUUGACCUCGGAUCAGGUAGGAAUACCCGCUGAACUUAA
RNAcentral lists this unclassified non-coding RNA (260 nucleotides) under uncultured fungus. Its description in RNAcentral is "partial contains 5.8S ribosomal RNA, internal transcribed spacer 2, and large subunit ribosomal RNA". The stretch from base 1 to 52 matches the Rfam family "5.8S ribosomal RNA", at positions 103 to 154 of the family's 154-position model. Lineage: Eukaryota; Fungi. The record is from RNAcentral.